This 534-nucleotide long non-coding RNA is filed under the name Cottoperca gobio. RNAcentral describes it as "lncRNA (ENSCGOG00000020259.1)". The record is from RNAcentral. Lineage: Eukaryota; Metazoa; Chordata; Actinopteri; Perciformes; Bovichtidae.
CAUUACAAUUUAGUUUCAGCUCAAACGAUGAUUGAAUUACAGGUUAAAAUCUGAAUUUUAUGUUCUCAGCCCAGAACCUGGCUCUCAGCCCGGUGUGUUGAUGUGGAUCAGCGGCGCUCUGCCGCAACCUGCAGUCUCACCAAGUCUGACCCGGUCCAACUCCACCACCAAGGAGGAAAACACAACAACCAGUGAGCUUGAAGACGAAAAAGGGAUGAUGGCUUGGCUCGCUCAGGGUUUGGAGAGAGUUGUUCCUCAGCCGGAUCUGAACAGGAAGGAAAGCCCACCAGCUGAGCAGCCCCCCGAGGUACAGCAGCAGUUACUGCAGGACGUCCUGUAGGAGAUAAAGCAGAUGAACACACUCAUGUUUUAUUAGAGAGCACAAGAUCUGCCUUCAUGGAGGGAUUACUGAACGGGCCCAAAGUGUCCUUCACCUACAAAAUGUCACUAAAAAGACGAACCAGGAGGAGACUCAAAAUGAGCAACAAGAAACAAAACCACGGUUAAAUUAACACAACUUUAAUAAGAGAAGGC